GACGAACGCUGGCGGCGUGCUUAACACAUGCAAGUCGAACGGUGAAGCUCCAGCUUGCUGGAGUGGAUCAGUGGCGAACGGGUGAGUAACACGUGAGCAACCUGCCCCUGACUCUGGAAUAAGCGCUGGAAACGGCGUCUAAUACUGGAUACGAGAAGGGUCCGCAUGGGCACUUUCUGGAAAGUUUUUCGGUUGGGGAUGGGCUCGCGGCCUAUCAGCUUGUUGGUGAGGUAAUGGCUCACCAAGGCGACGACGGGUAGCCGGCCUGAGAGGGCGACCGGCCACACUGGGACUGAGACACGGCCCAGACUCCUACGAGAGGCAGCAGUGGGGAACAUUGCACAAUGGGCGAAAGCCUGAUGCAGCGACGCCGCGUGAGGGAUGACGGCCUUCGGGUUGUAAACCUCUUUCAGCAGGGAAGAAGCGAAAGUGACGGUACCUGCAGAAGAAGCACCGGCUAACUACGUG
Molecule: ribosomal RNA, 468 nt
Filed under: uncultured bacterium
Lineage: Bacteria
Description: partial 16S ribosomal RNA
Rfam family: Bacterial small subunit ribosomal RNA
Source: RNAcentral